ACCGACGAGGGCGACUAUCAGGUCAAGCUGAAAAACCUGACGCGCUUUCUUGAAGGUGGUGACAAGGGGAAGGUCACAUUGCGCUUCCGUGGUCGUGAAAUGGCACACCAGGAUAUCGGCAGAAAGCUGAUGGAAAGGAUUGCCGCCGACCUGGAAGAUAUCGGAGCGGUCGAAUCAUUUCCGAAGAUGGAAGGCCGCCAGAUGAUCAUGAUCCUUGCCCCGAAAAAGAAGUGAUCCAACGGCGAAGUUAACGGGCUGCCAUGAUUGGCAGUUGGCCCUGGAUUUUCUAAAAAACAUCGAGCGGAGUUUUCCUCAUGCCGA
This 321-nucleotide unclassified non-coding RNA is filed under the name Vreelandella subterranea. Its description in RNAcentral is "Halomonas subterranea Long range pseudoknot". Lineage: Bacteria; Pseudomonadati; Pseudomonadota; Gammaproteobacteria; Oceanospirillales; Halomonadaceae. The record is from RNAcentral.